This 400-nucleotide ribosomal RNA is filed under the name uncultured bacterium. Its description in RNAcentral is "partial 16S ribosomal RNA". It matches the Rfam family "Bacterial small subunit ribosomal RNA", at positions 338 to 755 of the family's 1533-position model. The record is from RNAcentral.
CCUACGGGUGGCAGCAGUGGGGAAUAUUGCACAAUGGGGGAAACCCUGAUGCAGCGACGCCGCGUGAGUGAAGAAGUAAUUCGGUAUGUAAAGCUCUAUCAGCAGGGAAGAAAAUGACGGUACCUGAGUAAGAAGCACCGGCUAACGACGUGCCAGCAGCCGCGGUAAGACGGAGGGGGCAAGCGUUAGCCGGAUUUACUGGGUGUAAAGGGAGCGUAGACGGCAGGGCAAGUCUGGAGGGAAAGGCGGGGGCUCAACCCCCGGACUGCUCUGGAAACUGUACGGCUGGAGUGCAGGAGAGGUAAGUGGACUUCCUAGUGUAGCGGUGCAAUGCGUAGAUAUUAGGAGGACCCCCAGUGGCGAAGGCGGCUUACUGGACUGUACCUGACGUUGAGGCUCG